UGCUUUUGUGACAAAAGGAAGGUCCAGGAUGCUAAACUUCAAAGUGAUAAAGGACAUGGAUGCUUAAGAAAAUGCAACUUUGACCUGAUCAUAAUGUUAAUGAUGUGAAGAUCAAGGAGAGGAGACAGAACAUGAAGCAUUCCAAACUACCCCUCAAAACCACCAUGCUCAGAGCCUGAAAGGAUCACUUACCUCUGAGAGUACUCCAGGUAGCUGUCAAGAGACCAGAGCAGAGCAGAAGAGGAAGAGAAGUUUUCAAAAAACUGCUUGCAGGAGAUAGAAAGCUCUCGAAGUUACAGCUGAAGAUUGCAAUUUCUUCUGGCUGAAGUGG
Catharus ustulatus (Swainson's thrush) is the source of this 331-nucleotide long non-coding RNA. RefSeq lists it as uncharacterized. NCBI's taxonomy places the organism in Eukaryota, Metazoa, Chordata, Aves, Passeriformes, Turdidae. The transcript is spliced from 3 exons. The record is from RefSeq and is a predicted model, not a curated record.